RNAcentral lists this long non-coding RNA (537 nucleotides) under Mytilus galloprovincialis (Mediterranean mussel). The record is from RNAcentral. Lineage: Eukaryota; Metazoa; Mollusca; Bivalvia; Mytilida; Mytilidae.
AAAAAAAAAAAAAUCAGCUAGCCAAAAAAUUAAUAGCAAAAUCAAGAACAUGAUUAAAAGACUAUAUACAGAUAAAUAAAAUAUUAUUAAAAUAAGGCUCCUUUUAAUCUUGAGCGCUAGGAUAUUAGAUAAAUUUGGAAAUUAAUCAUGCUACGUUAUUUACAUAUACGUUUUCCACAAUACAUUACUCCGCAUAUCAAAGUUCGAUUUGGACAUUCAGUAAGUUUGAAACGAUCAAGACUGUUAGCAUUCAUAUCAUACAACUCGAAACAGAAUAGCUCAAGCAUGGAAGGUGAAUACAAAAAAAUAAGAAGAUUUAUUGGAUAAGAUAGCAAAUCAGACAUUAACCCACCUGCGACAAGUGUUUUUAGAUGUGAUCAUCAACACGUCAUCGUGCGGACUGUAAAUUAAAACAGAACACAUACAAUACCUGAUAAUAAACUAAAUCAAGACCAGCUAAUGAAAAAUAUAAACUAACGUGUUUACAAGCAACAUAAUCGCGCUUUCUUGGCAUAAUUGCUACGUCUUUGCCACCAA